CUGCAAUGAAUUAUAAAUAUUAAAAGAGAUUUCAGUAUCUAAUAUCCAGAUAGUAGAAUCAUAAAUUGAGAAAUUACAAGAUGUUAUUAUAUAAUUAUCUUGUCCAACAAUAACUUGCUUCUUUCUCAGCUUGUUCGGAUCCAAGGAGACAAUAUACUGAGGAUAAUUCCUCUUUUAGUGCCCUGCUUCUUACAGUAGAAGCAUUCCAUCUGACUC
Molecule: long non-coding RNA, 216 nt
Filed under: Elaeis guineensis (African oil palm)
Lineage: Eukaryota; Viridiplantae; Streptophyta; Magnoliopsida; Arecales; Arecaceae
Description: long non-coding RNA (EGUI_LNC078283)
Source: RNAcentral